Molecule: ribosomal RNA, 799 nt
Filed under: Streptomyces sp. D10
Lineage: Bacteria; Bacillati; Actinomycetota; Actinomycetes; Kitasatosporales; Streptomycetaceae
Description: bacterial SSU rRNA
Rfam family: Bacterial small subunit ribosomal RNA
Source: RNAcentral
GCGGCUGCUUACACAUGCAGUCGAACGAUGAACCACUUCGGUGGGGAUUAGUGGCGAACGGGUGAGUAACACGUGGGCAAUCUGCCCUGCACUCUGGGACAAGCCCUGGAAACGGGGUCUAAUACCGGAUAUUGACCUUCACGGGCAUCUGUGAGGUUCGAAAGCUCCGGCGGUGCAGGAUGAGCCCGCGGCCUAUCAGCUUGUUGGUGAGGUAAUGGCUCACCAAGGCGACGACGGGUAGCCGGCCUGAGAGGGCGACCGGCCACACUGGGACUGAGACACGGCCCAGACUCCUACGGGAGGCAGCAGUGGGGAAUAUUGCACAAUGGGCGAAAGCCUGAUGCAGCGACGCCGCGUGAGGGAUGACGGCCUUCGGGUUGUAAACCUCUUUCAGCAGGGAAGAAGCGAAAGUGACGGUACCUGCAGAAGAAGCGCCGGCUAACUACGUGCCAGCAGCCGCGGUAAUACGUAGGGCGCAAGCGUUGUCCGGAAUUAUUGGGCGUAAAGAGCUCGUAGGCGGCUUGUCACGUCGGUUGUGAAAGCCCGGGGCUUAACCCCGGGUCUGCAGUCGAUACGGGCAGGCUAGAGUUCGGUAGGGGAGAUCGGAAUUCCUGGUGUAGCGGUGAAAUGCGCAGAUAUCAGGAGGAACACCGGUGGCGAAGGCGGAUCUCUGGGCCGAUACUGACGCUGAGGAGCGAAAGCGUGGGGAGCGAACAGGAUUAGAUACCCUGGUAGUCCACGCCGUAAACGGUGGGCACUAGGUGUGGGCAACAUUCCACGUUGUCCGUGCCGCAGCUAA